AAUGUAAUAACUUGAAUAAUGAGAAGGUAAGGAUUUCUUAGGAUUAUUACUUCAAGAGGCUCAAAUUUUCCUAAAUAGCUUAAAACAAGUUAAAUACUUUCAUGGAUGUGUGAAUAAAUUAGAAACUUUGCUCAUUGUUUGAUAUAUCAAUAUAGCAUAAUUGUUAUAACCACUUUGUAGUAUUUUUGGGCGCCUGUUGGUGUGUUUGUUUGGCCUGUGAUGCUUUGAUUUGGCUAAGUUGUUAUAGCAGCAUUUUUUAGCUUGUCAUGUAGGUGUUUUUGAGGGGCUUUGCUGUCAUGUAGCUCUGUCAUUUUUUAACUGCAUUUUUUGUUAAAAAAUUCAUGAAUAAAUUUAAAAAAAAUGGCUUAAAUAUGAAAAUUGUCCCUGCAAAUAUCUAACAUUUUGGUUUUUAGUCCCUGUAAAAAUAUUUUUUUGGUUUUAGUCCCUGCAAAUAUAAAAAAUUUGGUUUUGGUCCUUGGUAUUUUGUUUUAG
This 492-nucleotide long non-coding RNA is filed under the name Medicago truncatula (barrel medic). RNAcentral's name for it is "long non-coding RNA (MTRU_LNC007250)". The record is from RNAcentral. Lineage: Eukaryota; Viridiplantae; Streptophyta; Magnoliopsida; Fabales; Fabaceae.